GCCGGGUUAACUCACAAGUUUCAACCUAUUUUGACAGUACUAGUUAAAAUGCUCCCUGACUUUUAUAAGAAACUGGCAUUCAACCCAACUUAACCUUGGAUUAGAAAGCAACCAACUCGAAACUGUGUUUUUGGGAAACAUAGACUGGUUUAGAUGAUCAAAUUACUAUUAUUUACUUAGUACUUGGUUCAAAAACAGUUUUCAAUGUCAAAAUACAUAUGAACUUGCUUAAAUGAUCAAAUCCUAAGUUCCUAAAUUCAAC
This 262-nucleotide long non-coding RNA is filed under the name Vigna radiata. Its description in RNAcentral is "long non-coding RNA (VRAD_LNC017077)". Lineage: Eukaryota; Viridiplantae; Streptophyta; Magnoliopsida; Fabales; Fabaceae. The record is from RNAcentral.